UACGUAGGGUGCGAGCGUUGUCCGGAAUUACUGGGCGUAAAGAGCUCGUAGGUGGUUUGUCGCGUUGUUCGUGAAAUCUCACGGCUUAACGGUGAGCGUGCGGGCGAUACGGGCAGACUAGAGUACUGCAGGGGAGACUGGAAUUCCUGGUGUAGCGGUGGAAUGCGCAGAUAUCAGGAGGAACACCGGUGGCGAAGGCGGGUCUCUGGGCAGUAACUGACGCUGAGGAGCGAAAGCUAGGGUAGCGAACGGG
Molecule: ribosomal RNA, 253 nt
Filed under: uncultured bacterium
Lineage: Bacteria
Description: partial 16S ribosomal RNA
Rfam family: Bacterial small subunit ribosomal RNA
Source: RNAcentral